RNAcentral lists this ribosomal RNA (539 nucleotides) under Selenaspidus kamerunicus. RNAcentral's name for it is "eukaryotic LSU rRNA". Lineage: Eukaryota; Metazoa; Arthropoda; Insecta; Hemiptera; Diaspididae. The record is from RNAcentral.
AUCUGGGCGGCGGAAUUCAGGAUGACGGGCGUGCCUUGCGGCGCGUCGGUCGUUUGAUAUUUCCGUCGCCGAUCACCCUCAGACGUCGCGACCUGUUCGCGGUCGGUCCCUGCUCGGAGGAGCCGCGUUCGAGUUCGUUGUGUACGCGUUUCGGCGCGUCACACGGCGAAGGCGCGGAUCUCUGGCUGGCCGUCGGACAGUACGCUUACGGUGUCCGGUGCCGUCACGCGCGCGCACCGGUACCGGUCAGCGACGAAUUCUUCGGGCCUCUUUCCGACCCGUCUUGAAACACGGACCAAGGAGUCUAACAUGCGCGCGAGUCGCGGGGUGUCGAGCGUACUUCGGUGCGUUCGUUACGUUGCGAAACCCGUACAUGUCGAAGGCGUAAUGAAAGUGAAUGGGGAAGAUGGUGUUCCGAGUACACGUUCCGCGAUCGUCGGUAUCGCGGCCGGACACCCGCAUUCCCGGGGCGUCUCAACGGCCCGUCGCUGAUGCGGACAGUCGUCUCUUGGGGCGGCUGUCGGUCGGCGACGAACCGA